CAGUGCCGCGGUAAUACGUAGGUGGCAAGCGUUGUCCGGAAUUAUUGGGCGUAAAGGGCUCGCAGGCGGUUUCUUAAGUCUGAUGUGAAAGCCCCCGGCUCAACCGGGGAGGGUCAUUGGAAACUGGGAAACUUGAGUGCAGAAGAGGAGAGUGGAAUUCCACGUGUAGCGGUGAAAUGCGUAGAGAUGUGGAGGAACACCAGUGGCGAAGGCGACUCUCUCGUCUGUAACUGACGCUGAGGAGCGAAAGCGUGGGGAGCGAACAGGAUUAGAUACCCGCGUAGUCCCUGUCUCUUAUACC
Molecule: ribosomal RNA, 301 nt
Filed under: uncultured bacterium
Lineage: Bacteria
Description: partial 16S ribosomal RNA
Rfam family: Bacterial small subunit ribosomal RNA
Source: RNAcentral